GACGAGCGCUGGCGGCGUGCUUAACACAUGCAAGUCGAACGGAAAGGCCCUGCUUUUGUGGGGUGCUCGAGUGGCGAACGGGUGAGUAACACGUGAGUAACCUGCCCUUGACUUUGGGAUAACUUCAGGAAACUGGGGCUAAUACCGGAUAGGAGCUCCUGCUGCAUGGUGGGGGUUGGAAAGUUUCGGCGGUUGGGGAUGGACUCGCGGCUUAUCAGCUUGUUGGUGGGGUAGUGGCUUACCAAGGCUUUGACGGGUAGCCGGCCUGAGAGGGUGACCGGCCACAUUGGGACUGAGAUACGGCCCAGACUCCUACGGGAGGCAGCAGUGGGGAAUAUUGCACAAUGGGCGGAAGCCUGAUGCAGCAACGCCGCGUGCGGGAUGACGGCCUUCGGGUUGUAAACCGCCUUCGCCUGUGACGAAGCGUGAGUGACGGUAAUGGGUAAAGAAGCACCGGCUAACUACGUG
RNAcentral lists this ribosomal RNA (468 nucleotides) under uncultured bacterium. Its description in RNAcentral is "partial 16S ribosomal RNA". It matches the Rfam family "Bacterial small subunit ribosomal RNA", at positions 28 to 507 of the family's 1533-position model. The record is from RNAcentral.